GACGAACGCUGGCGGCGUGCCUAAUACAUGCAAGUAGAACGCUGAAGGAGGAGCUUGCUUCUCUGGAUGAGUUGCGAACGGGUGAGUAACGCGUAGGUAACCUGCCUGGUAGCGGGGGAUAACUAUUGGAAACGAUAGCUAAUACCGCAUAAUAGUAGAUGUUGCAUGACAUUUGCUUAAAAGGUGCAAUUGCAUCACUACCAGAUGGACCUGCGUUGUAUUAGCUAGUUGGUGAGGUAACGGCUCACCAAGGCGACGAUACAUAGCCGACCUGAGAGGGUGGUCGGCCACACUGGGACUGAGACACGGCCCAGACUCCUACGGGAGGCAGCAGUAGGGAAUCUUCGGCAAUGGACGGAAGUCUGACCGAGCAACGCCGCGUGAGUGAAGAAGGUUUUCGGAUCGUAAAGCUCUGUUGUAAGAGAAGAACGAGUGUGAGAGUGGAAAGUUCACACUGUGACGGUAUCUUACCAGAAAGGGACGGCUAACUACGUG
RNAcentral lists this ribosomal RNA (495 nucleotides) under uncultured bacterium. Its description in RNAcentral is "partial 16S ribosomal RNA". It matches the Rfam family "Bacterial small subunit ribosomal RNA", at positions 28 to 507 of the family's 1533-position model. The record is from RNAcentral.